RNAcentral lists this ribosomal RNA (460 nucleotides) under uncultured bacterium. RNAcentral describes it as "partial 16S ribosomal RNA". It matches the Rfam family "Bacterial small subunit ribosomal RNA", at positions 338 to 795 of the family's 1533-position model. The record is from RNAcentral.
GCUACGGGUGGCAGCAGUGAGGAAUAUUGGUCAAUGGGCGUAAGCCUGAACCAGCCAAGUCGCGUGAGGGAUGAAGGUUCUAUGGAUCGUAAACUUCUUUUAUAAAGGAAUAAAGUGAGGCACGUGUGCCUUUUUGUAUGUACUUUAUGAAUAAGGAUCGGCUAACUCCGUGCCAGCAGCCGCGGUAAUACGGAGGAUCCGAGCGUUAUCCGGAUUUAUUGGGUUUAAAGGGAGCGUAGAUGGGUUGUUAAGUCAGUUGUGAAAGUUUGCGGCUCAACCGUAAAAUUGCAAUUGAUACUGGCAGUCUUGAGUACAGUUGAGGUAGGCGGAAUUCGUGGUGUAGCGGUGAAAUGCUUAGAUAUCACGAAGAACUCCGAUUGCGAAGGCAGCUUACUAAACUGCCACUGACAUUGAUGCUCGAAAGUGUGGGUAUCAAACAGGAUUAGAUACCCGAGUAGUC